Molecule: ribosomal RNA, 422 nt
Filed under: Verrucomicrobiota bacterium
Lineage: Bacteria; Pseudomonadati; Verrucomicrobiota
Description: Verrucomicrobia bacterium partial 16S ribosomal RNA
Rfam family: Bacterial small subunit ribosomal RNA
Source: RNAcentral
UGGGGAAUUUUGCACAAUGGGCGCAAGCCUGAUGCAGCGACGCCGCGUGAGGGAUGAAGGCCUUCGGGUUGUAAACCUUUUUCGCUCAUGGUCAAGCCGCAGCUUUGGGUUGUGGUGAGGGUAGUGGGUAAAGAAGCGCCGGCUAACUACGUGCCAGCAGCCGCGGUAAUACGUAGGGCGCGAGCGUUGUCCGGAAUUAUUGGGCGUAAAGGGCUUGUAGGCGGUUGGCCGCGUCUGCCGUGAAAUCCUCUGGCUUAACUGGGGGCGUGUGGUGGGUACGGGUUGACUUGAGUGCGGUAGGGGAGACUGGAAUUCCUGGUGUAGCGGUGGAAUGCGCAGAUAUUAGGAGGAAUACCGGUGGCGAAGGCGACUUUCUGGCCAUAAUCUGACGCUGAGGUACGAAAGCGUGGGUAGCAAACAGG